AAUAAACGCUGGCUACAGGCUUAACACAUGCAAGUCGAGGGGAAACGAUAUUGGAAGCUUGCUUCCGAUAGGCGUCGACCGGCGCACGGGUGAGUAACGCGUAUCCAACCUGCCCAUCACUUGGGGAUAACCUUGCGAAAGUAAGACUAAUACCCAAUGAUAUCUCCAGAAGACAUCUGAAGGAGAUUAAAGAUUUAUCGGUGAUGGAUGGGGAUGCGUCUGAUUAGCUUGUUGGCGGGGUAACGGCCCACCAAGGCGACGAUCAGUAGGGGUUCUGAGAGGAAGGUCCCCCACAUUGGAACUGAGACACGGUCCAAACUCCUACGGGAGGCAGCAGUGAGGAAUAUUGGUCAAUGGGCGAGAGCCUGAACCAGCCAAGUAGCGUGCAGGAUGACGGCCCUAUGGGUUGUAAACUGCCUUUAUAAGGGAAUAAAGUGAGUCUCGUGAGACUUUUUGCAUGUACCUUAUGAAUAAGGACCGGCUAAUUCCGUGCCAGCCGCCGCUGUAA
This 508-nucleotide ribosomal RNA is filed under the name uncultured bacterium. RNAcentral describes it as "partial 16S ribosomal RNA". It matches the Rfam family "Bacterial small subunit ribosomal RNA", at positions 29 to 523 of the family's 1533-position model. The record is from RNAcentral.